AUGCCGCCCAUCUCCCUCCUCCCCCUCCUCCUCCUCCUCCUCGCCGGCGCGGCGGCGGCGGCGGCGCCGGCCGAGCCCCCGACCCCGACCCCGACUCCCGCGCCGGGGAGGAACAAGACCAUCUACGAGCUCCUCCCGCUCUUCGGCCUCCCCCCGGGCGUCUUCCCCGCCAACGUCACCGCCUUCUCGCUCGCCGGCAACGGCAGCCUCGCCGUCGACCUCGCGGGCCCCUGCUACGUCCACUUCGAGUACCUCACCUACUUCGAGCCCCGCGUCACGGGCCUGCUCCGCUACGGCUCCCUCACCCAGCUGGAGGGCGUGCAGGUCCGCCGCUUCCUCGUCUGGUUCAGCGUCGUCCGCGUCAAGGUCGACCUGCCCCCGCCCCCGCGCUUCGUCUACCUCGACAUCGGCUGGAUCACCCGCAAGCUGCCCGCCGCCGACUUCCAGUCCGUCCACGCCUGCGAGGCCGGCAAGAGGCGGAGGCGGUGCCGCCUCUCCUCCGCGCUCGCCGCCGCCGCCGCUUGGUUCCAGGACUUCUUUGCCCAAUUUUAG
Molecule: ribosomal RNA, 552 nt
Filed under: Triticum aestivum (bread wheat)
Lineage: Eukaryota; Viridiplantae; Streptophyta; Magnoliopsida; Poales; Poaceae
Description: partial small subunit ribosomal RNA
Source: RNAcentral